GAAGGUAUAGCUCAGUGUAGAGCAUGUACUUAGCACGCAUGAGGUCCUGGGUUCAGUCCCCAGUGCCUCCA
This 71-nucleotide transfer RNA is filed under the name Camelus bactrianus (Bactrian camel). It matches the Rfam family "tRNA". From Rfam's summary of the family: Transfer RNA (tRNA) molecules are approximately 80 nucleotides in length. Their secondary structure includes four short double-helical elements and three loops (D, anti-codon, and T loops). Further hydrogen bonds mediate the characteristic L-shaped molecular structure. tRNAs have two regions of fundamental functional importance: the anti-codon, which is responsible for specific mRNA codon recognition, and the 3' end, to which the tRNAs corresponding amino acid is attached (by aminoacyl-tRNA synthetases). tRNAs cope with the degeneracy of the genetic code in two manners: having more than one tRNA (with a specific anti-codon) for a particular amino acid; and 'wobble' base-pairing, i.e. permitting non-standard base-pairing at the 3rd anti-codon position. The record is from Rfam by way of RNAcentral. Lineage: Eukaryota; Metazoa; Chordata; Mammalia; Artiodactyla; Camelidae. RNAcentral also lists the same sequence under 1 other name.